RNAcentral lists this ribosomal RNA (494 nucleotides) under uncultured bacterium. Its description in RNAcentral is "partial 16S ribosomal RNA". It matches the Rfam family "Bacterial small subunit ribosomal RNA", at positions 28 to 507 of the family's 1533-position model. The record is from RNAcentral.
GACGAACGCUGGCGGCGUGCUUAACACAUGCAAGUCGAACGGAAAGGCCUGCUUUCCCUUGUGGAUUGCGGGUACUCGAGUGGCGAACGGGUGAGUAACACGUGAGUGAUCUGCCCCCAACUUGGGUAUAAGCCUGGGAAACUGGGUCUAAUUCCCGAUAGGACUGCAGGGUGGUGCCUGUGGUGGAAAACGAUUUUCUAGUGGUUGGGGAUGAGCUCGAGGCCUAUCAGCUUGUUGGUGGGGUAAUGGCCUACCAAGGCGGCGACGGGUAGCCGGACUGAGAGGGUGGACGGCCACAUUGGGACUGAGAUACGGCCCAGACUCCUACGGGAGGCAGCAGUGGGGAAUAUUGCACAAUGGGCGGAAGCCUGAUGCAGCGACGCCGCGUGGGGGAUGACGGCCUUCGGGUUGUAAACUCCUUUCGACCGCGAGGAAGCCACCUGGUUGGAAGGGUGGUGACGGUAGUGGUAGAAGAAGCACCGGCUAACUACGUG